RNAcentral lists this ribosomal RNA (496 nucleotides) under uncultured bacterium. RNAcentral's name for it is "partial 16S ribosomal RNA". It matches the Rfam family "Bacterial small subunit ribosomal RNA", at positions 28 to 506 of the family's 1533-position model. The record is from RNAcentral.
GAUGAACGCUGGCGGCGUGCCUAAUACAUGCAAGUCGAGCGAACAGACGAGGAGCUUGCUCCUCUGACGUUAGCGGCGGACGGGUGAGUAACACGUGGAUAACCUACCUAUAAGACUGGGAUAACUUCGGGAAACCUGAGCUAAUACCGGAUAAUAUAUUGAACCGCAUGGUUCAAUAGUGAAAGACGGUUUUGCUGUCACUUAUAGAUGGAUCCGCGCCGCAUUAUCUAGUUGGUAAGGUAACGGCUUACCAAGGCAACGAUGCGUAGCCGACCUGAGAGGGUGAUCGGCCACACUGGAACUGAGACACGGUCCAGAAUCCUACGGGAGGCAGCAGUAGGGAAUCUUCCGCAAUGGGCGAAAGCCUGACGGAGCAACGCCGCGUGAGUGAUGAAGGUCUUCGGAUCGUAAAACUCUGUUAUUAGGGAAGAACAAAUGUGUAAGUAACUAUGCACGUCUUGACGGUACCUAAUCAGAAAGCCACGGCUAACUACGU